This 442-nucleotide ribosomal RNA is filed under the name uncultured bacterium. RNAcentral describes it as "partial 16S ribosomal RNA". It matches the Rfam family "Bacterial small subunit ribosomal RNA", at positions 338 to 795 of the family's 1533-position model. The record is from RNAcentral.
CCUACGUGAGGCAGCAGUGGGGAAUAUUGGUCAAUGGACGCAAGUCUGACCCAGCAACGCCGCGUGAAGGAAGAAGGCUUUCUGGUUGUAAACUUCUUUUAAGGGGGAAGAGCAGAAGACGGUACCCCUUGAAUAAGCCACAGCUAACUACGUGCCAUCAGCCGCGGUAAUACGGAGGUGGCAGGCGUUGUCCGGAUUUACUGGGUGUAAAGGGCGUGCAGCCGGGGAGAAAAGUCAGAUGUGAAAUCCACGGGCUCAAGCCGUGACUUGCCUUUGAAACUGUUUGCCUUGAGUGUCUGUGAGGUAAUCGGAAUUCGUUGUGUAGCGGUGAAAUGCGUAGAUAUAAGGAAGAACACCAGUGGCGAAGGCAGAGUACUGGAGGAAAACUGACGGUGAGGCGCGAAAGCGUGGGGAGCAAACAGGAUUAGAUACCCCGGUAGUC